RNAcentral lists this small RNA (34 nucleotides) under Bombyx mori (domestic silkworm). Its description in RNAcentral is "ovarian small RNA-15087". The record is from RNAcentral. Lineage: Eukaryota; Metazoa; Arthropoda; Insecta; Lepidoptera; Bombycidae.
GAAAUACGGGCGUAUUCCCGCCUCCGGCCCCCGU